GACGAACGCUGGCGGCGUGCCUAAUACAUGCAAGUUGAGCGCUGAAGGAUGGUACUUGUACCAACUGGAUGAGCAGCGAACGGGUGAGUAACGCGUGGGGAAUCUGCCUUUGAGCGGGGGACAACAUUUGGAAACGAAUGCUAAUACCGCAUAAAAACUUUAAACACAAGUUUUAAGUUUGAAAGAUGCAAUUGCAUCACCUAAAGAUGAUCCCGCGUUGUAUUAGCUAGUUGGUGAGGUAAAGGCUCACCAAGGCGAUGAUACAUAGCCGACCUGAGAGGGUGAUCGGCCACAAUGGGACUGAGACACGGCCCAAACUCCUACGGGAGGCAGCAGUAGGGAAUCUUCGGCAAUGGACGAAAGUCUGACCGGGCAACGCCGCGGGAGUGAAGAAGGGUUUCGGAUCGUAAAACUCUGUUGGUAGAGAAGAACGUUGGUGAGAGUGGAAAGCUCAUCAAGUGACGGUAACUACCCAGAAAGGGACGGCUAACUACGUG
RNAcentral lists this ribosomal RNA (497 nucleotides) under uncultured bacterium. RNAcentral describes it as "partial 16S ribosomal RNA". It matches the Rfam family "Bacterial small subunit ribosomal RNA", at positions 28 to 507 of the family's 1533-position model. The record is from RNAcentral.